GGAUUCUUGCUGGUGCCUCUGUGGCCAUUGUGGUACCUACCUUCACACGUGGUAGGACUGUCCUAAAUUACUUUUAUUCUGGUUGUGAGUUUGAGAUAUCUUGGUGGCUGCCUUCCGGAGACCAUUUGAUUUGAACCCUUGGGCAUAGCUCUUCUGUGUCCUCGUAAGGGGCUCCCGACUCACUCUGAAAAGCUCUUUAAUAAAAUCACUCUAGCAGUCUGUAGGGC
Non-coding RNA from Pelobates cultripes (western spadefoot toad), 227 nucleotides. Lineage: Eukaryota; Metazoa; Chordata; Amphibia; Anura; Pelobatidae. The record is from the annotation of a GenBank genome assembly.